UACAGAGGGUGCAAGCGUUAAUCGGAGUUACUGGGCGUAAAGGGCGCGUAGGCGGUUAUUUAAGUGAGAUGUGAAAUCCCUGGGCUUAACCUAGGAACUGCAUCUCAUACUGAAUGGCUAGAGUAUUGUAGAGGGUAGUGGAAUUUCCGGUGUAGCGGUGAAAUGCGUAGAGAUCGGAAGGAACACCAGUGGCGAAGGCGGCGACCUGGACGGAUACUGACGCUGAGGUGCGAAAGCGUGGGGAGCAAACAGG
This 253-nucleotide ribosomal RNA is filed under the name uncultured bacterium. RNAcentral's name for it is "partial 16S ribosomal RNA". It matches the Rfam family "Bacterial small subunit ribosomal RNA", at positions 524 to 776 of the family's 1533-position model. The record is from RNAcentral.